UUCCUGCCUGGCCAAUCAGCGUUUUAUUAAAAUACAUGAUUGACAGAAUACAGACAAUUCUCCCGCACCAGAUAUCCAACAGAACUAUACUGGUUGUGCCUUCAGAAGAGACUGAGUCGUUCUUUGUGCAUGAGAUGGUUAGGAAGGCGCAGGGCACAGGGUAGCUGUAGAGCCACUGUCCUGUUAAGAGGAAUUAGGGAGAAAUGGUUACAUCAAAGCUGCUGGAGUGCCCAGCAAAAAUAAAAAGUAAUAAAUGAAAUAAAAUAAUUUUAGCAAAUUUUGAGAAUGGGCGGUUAUGUCAUGCUGUGACAGGCUUCAAUCACUGAUGAAAGGUCAUGCAUGUCAUUGAUGAAAGGUCAUAUGUGUCAAGAUAUCUGCACUUUUCUUCCUGUCAUAUGUUUCAAAUACGGAGAACACAGUCUCAAAUGUAGGCAAGAUUGCUUGUUUUUCUAAGAAUCCCCCCCACCACCACCCCAUAUUUUAUUUCUCUCAUAGCCCAGGCUGGCCUCAAACUCACUGUACAGCUGAGGGUAACUCUGAAUUUCACAUUCCCCUUUCUCUACUAGAGACUAGGACUAUAGGUGAUUGCCACUGUGGCAGGUUUGUGAAUGCCAGGGAAUCUGUCUCAGACUUCAUGACUGUCAGGCAAGCACUCCAGCUACAUCCACAGCCCUCCUUCAGUGUACUUCUAUUUGUUUGGUUUGUUUUGGUGGCAGUUGUGCAUACAUCCUCAGGGUCCUUUACCCCUAAGCACUUCAGUUUUUAAGCAUAAAGUGCUCUUGGUCGGGUGCCAUCAUCACUCUGUGGUUAAAGAUCCAUGAGUUUAACUUUCUUAUGCUUUCACCUGGCAUUGGCAUUCUGGUUGGGUCACUUGGCUCAGCUAAACCCUGGAGAGGAUUUCCUCCAGCCCCUAACCCUGGGCCCACGCUUGGGCUCUGUGUUUUCAUCUCCUCCCAACCUAGAACUUUUCUUUUGCCUUUCCCAUUGCCACUGUUUUCUUUCCUCAGUGCUCCCAGGGGCCACAGGGGCUAGCCCGGGCCUUGCACACUCUCCCGCUCUUAGCUGAACCACACCUCCCUCCUCGCUGACUCUGACAGGUUUUUUUUUUUUCAUACCUGUCCUGCGCCUGUCGCCACAGCUGCGGUUUGUCAUCCAUCUUCUGCACAACAGAGGUGUCUUUUUAUUUGCUGCGUUCUCAUGUGGAGGCCCACAAAGACCAGCAGUUUCUACAGGUGACAUUAGUUUUAGUCACUUGGUCAAGAUGUCUGAUUUAUUCACGGCGUACUAAGUUUUUUCCCUCUUGGUUGUGAUGAAUGCGCAGUCUGUGGGGGAAAGAACUUGUAAUUUUUUUUUUAACAAAGUAUGUUGACCCCGAUGGAAGGGACGGAAGGAAAAUUGAUUAUGUAAAUCCAAAAGCUGCUGUUGAAUUAUUUGAUUUCAUUUUUCCCUCUUCAUUGUAUGUCCCAAAAUUCAUAAAAAAUGUUUUUGGUAGGAAUAUUUUAAACAAUACACUGUUAAUGAAAAUUAAAAGGAAACCUCAGGGCGAAGUACUUUAGACUUCUUUUCAGUAGAAGAAAUAGUUACAUAAAUUCCAUUAUAACUAAUAGGGUUGUGGGAAAUUGUCCAGGGUGUUGCUGACAUCACCGAUGGCCUAUGGUAAUACAAUAGGACAUUGAAGUCUAGGCUGAUAAUCACCUGGCCAUAAAAUAUAAGUUGUGUAUGUCUGUGUGUUUCCAUAGAGACAUCUUAACUUAAAAUGUUUUAAGCCCCACCACUGGCAGGUAGGUAAAAGCAAAAGCUGCAACUCUAAAAACCUUUUUCAUUUCUUUUAAAAAGCAGUGUAGAUUCUCUGUUAAAAAAAAAAAAAGGCCCUGGGGAAGCCAAACCCUGUCUUGCCUGGUUGUUCCACAUCAGCUGACCUCGAGUAAGCCUGAGGAGAGACAUCAGCAAUUGAUUUCCCUGCCUUUUGGCAAAGGAAUGAGACUGCAUUGACUUCAUCCACGCAGACAACUGCCAGCUAUUUCCUUACUCCACAGGGCGCUAAUUGUAGCAAGUCUGUUCACUCCCUUUCAUACCUUCACAAAUGGAGACAGUGUCUGUCGCUUGAUAGUGCCUGAUAUGAACGCUGUGAGGAGCUCUUAUCGACGUCUCUGAAAAAACGUGAUGAUGAAAGAGAAACUCAGAGACGUCCUUCGCCUCGUGCAGCAGGAGUGCCCACAAGUUGAACAGUGUAGGAGAUCAAUAAAAUACAAUUCCAAUAGUUAAUUGCAUCCCGAAGGAAAGCUUACUGAUUAUGGCGAAGGGGAAAGAACAUGGCUAUUAAAGGACUUUCCUUCUUAUUGUAGUUCUGAGUUGGAUCCCCGUCACGUGACUCGCCUGUAGUUCCUCCACGUGUGUAACCAGCAUAACAAGCCGUCUGCCAUAUCUGAAAAUGUUUCAGAAAUGAAAGUUCCAAAUUAAGCCCAGGUGUUAUGAUUAUGUAAGAAACAAACUGCAAAAAGCAGCUCCGGAUAACCUAAGGAAACUCUCUACUCAAGGCAGAGCAGGGGUGGAAAGGUUUGGCUAAGGCUUGGAUGAAAUUAGUGAGUGAUCCUCAACAGCAAGAGAAUUAUGAAAACUGUCUGAGGUAAUUAGUCCUUUUGUUUUAUAGAUGAAGAUUUUCACACUUAUUGUGCAGUUUAUAGGAACUACAUAAAUUGUUGAGUUGCUCAAGAUGGACUUUAACUGAAGUAAUAGUGAAUAUAGUACUAUUUGCUGAUUCAGUGAAAAUUUAUACCCUAAUUAUGAUAUACAUAAUUUACAUAAGGCAGAGUUCUUUUACUUAUGAAAUCUACCUUAGUGGUUCACAAUCAACCUUUUCUCCCUCAAAUGAAACCGAACAACGAACAUAAACAGUACUAACAAACAAGUAGAGAGUCUUGUUGGGAGUCUGAAGCAGGAGGAUUGCCACAAACGGGAGCCUGUGCUGGGCUGAAAAAUUAGUUUCUGGCCUACCUGAGAUACAUAACAAGACCCUGUCUGAAACAAGCAAACAAAGCAAUAGGUAGAAUAAAAUGAAACAAAAAGACGAAAGGUGAUAAUCAGGAAAGCAAGGGACCCACUGGAAGAAGCUUCUAGUUUUGAAAUUUCAAAGCCAAGAUGAAGGUGAAUGUGACAUUCUGCUGUUUCUGAGGCUAGAGUACAGAACCGGGAGGUUGGAUGACCGUGGCGAUGGGGGUGACGAUUUAGAUGGUCCUGGCUUGAUACCCCAGAUGUUAGCUACAGUUAGAAGUCAUUCCAGGCACACAGAGGAGCUUUGGGAUCCACCAUCAGAGUACAGGGAUCAACAAGGACUCAGGGAUUAGAAAAUGUCUCUGCUUAGGUUAAAAUUAGCAUCGAUUUGACCUUCCCUUCUCAGGGACUGGAUGGAAACUCUCUUUGGUUAAUAUCCAGAAGGGAGGGUUUCUAAAACCUUAGAUCAGAUUUGGAAGAUAAGAGGAUUUAUUCAGGAAUUUAGCCUUUGUUCUUAACCUUAAAUUGUUAUUGGAAGUAUUUACGAGACAGCGGAGUGGUAUGUUUUGCUUGUGAUGGUUUGCACUCCUCAUUUACAAAUGGACUAUUUGCCACGGAAGACCCUUGAUCUUCUGUCCUCCUCAGGAAAUGAGUGCAUUGCUAGAAACACCAGACAUUUCAGUGUUUGACUUAGCACUGAGGCAGGAUCGUGUUUAGCCACACUCACCCUUCUGUGCUUGCUCAUUAUUUAUCCUGGACUUACCUCAAGAAAUGGAUUAAAGGAGAAAGCAUGAACCUACAAGCAAUCCUUAACCUCAAAUAUUUAAUCUGUGUCAUCACACUUGAGGAGUUCAGAGUCCUGCUUAGAAAAGGCAAACCAGGGAGUUUGGCUUCUCUUUGCCCCUCUGAAAGGGUCAACGAGAAGACUUAGUAUUAAGCCAGCAUCUCCACAGGCUUAAAUCACCCAGUGGUGGCCCUUUCUCAGUCUGCUUAGGUAAAUACAUAAACCAUUGUCCUGAGGCAUGGAUCUGUCACUCCAAAAUUAAAAGCAAACCAGAUGCUGCUUGCCUCACGAGAAGCCUAUAAAUCAGGUUUCAAGAAAUACAAUCAACUUUGGUGAGUUUUGUAAGUUCAGGUGUCCACCUAUGGUAUUUAGUUACAUGGAGGUACCUCAGAAUAUUAGAAGCAUAAUUUAUGGGUUAUCUCUCUGGCUUUAAGAGACCUGUCGGUACAGCGGGUAGUUCGUUUAUAAGGAAUCAGCUGGUCAUCGACCACUAUCACAAUGACAACUGCUAACAAUUCUGCUGGCUAAGCUUACAAUAAGUUCCUCACAAACAUUAGCUAUUAUAAAGAAUCAUCAUAUAGAUAGAAAUAUUGGCAGUAAGAAUGAAUCCUAUACAGCAGGUGUUAUUAUGACGACCCUUCCACAGGCACAGAAACUGAGGCUUAUAGAGAUGAACUAGCCUGCAUCACAGAAGGCCUGAGUCGAGCCUGCACCUGGACGCUUUCAAAGCCCAGCCCAUCCCCCUACGUCAUUACUUUCUUACUUACUAAAUAGCCCCAUAUAUACCAUUAUGCUAGAUUUUCAACAAGAAAUUAUUCACCUUGCUGCUGUUUUCAGAAUUUUAAAAUCAAAAUUGAAACUUUCAUUUUAAAUGAGUUUUACCCAUAUAAAAAAGUCAUACAAAUAGUAAGCAGAGGUUAACAUCUUGCAUAACUGUGGUGAUCAAAACCAGGAAAUUAAUAUUGAUACAAUUCUGUUCCGGGCCAGCACGCCUUACGCCAAUUUUCCCACUUUCCCCACUACAUCCCCGGUUCUCAGCCGGAAUGACGUGCUCCUGUCAGGUCUUCUUCAAGACCAGUCCUGCAGUGCAUGGCCUUGAGCACGAAGGCCGCCUUCAGUCUGUGCCCUGGCUGCUUUGCUCGCUCCGGCUGUUGCUGAAGUCCAGAAGGCUCCCACAAUCUUCCUUUAUCAUCCACGACUCUUUUGAAAAUUACUGGACAGGUUUUGUUUUGUUUUUUAAAACCGAUUUUUUUUUUAAAAUUUAGAUUUGUCUAAGGUUUCUUCGUGAAUAAAUUUGGGCCAUGCCUCUGUAAACUGCUCUUGAAGUCCCGUUAGGAGUUCCUUACUGUUUCAUAAGGCUUGUCCAGCUUUAACUCAUUCAGUCUCUACUGCUGCUUCUGCUGCUGAUCAUUUGGUUAAAGUGGUUUCAGCUGCAUUUCUCUGCUGUGGCAUUUUCCCUGUAACUGGCGAGUGCUUGUGGGGCACAUAUUUUGAGGCCAUGUGACUGUCCUGCCUUCUAAUUCUAUCAUUCAUUGAUGCUUCUUUCCCAACCUCUCGAGUGCUGGGGAGGGUUUACAGAUACUGGUCUUCUGCCUCAUUGUUGUUUCUGUGCUUACUAACUGGAAUCCUAUUGUGCAGGAAAGCUUCCCCUUAUCUAUUGCCUUUUUUAAAAAAAAAGUUAUUUAUGGCAGAACAAAAUCGUGGAUUUAUGUA
Molecule: long non-coding RNA, 5488 nt
Organism: Myodes glareolus (Bank vole)
Lineage: Eukaryota; Metazoa; Chordata; Mammalia; Rodentia; Cricetidae
Source: RefSeq, a predicted model, not a curated record